GGAGAGAUGGCCGAGCGGUUGAAGGCGCACGCCUGGAAAGUGUGUAUAUGGGAGAGCUAUAUCGGGGGUUCGAAUCCCCCUCUCUCCGCCA
This 91-nucleotide transfer RNA is filed under the name Alphaproteobacteria bacterium. Its description in RNAcentral is "tRNA-Ser". It matches the Rfam family "tRNA". From Rfam's summary of the family: Transfer RNA (tRNA) molecules are approximately 80 nucleotides in length. Their secondary structure includes four short double-helical elements and three loops (D, anti-codon, and T loops). The record is from RNAcentral. Lineage: Bacteria; Pseudomonadati; Pseudomonadota; Alphaproteobacteria.